RNAcentral lists this ribosomal RNA (253 nucleotides) under uncultured bacterium. Its description in RNAcentral is "partial 16S ribosomal RNA". It matches the Rfam family "Bacterial small subunit ribosomal RNA", at positions 524 to 776 of the family's 1533-position model. The record is from RNAcentral.
UACAUGGGGUGCAAACGUUGCUCGGAAUUAUUGGGCGUAAAGGGCUCGUAGGCGGUCUGUUGCGUCGGGAGUGAAAACUCAGGGCUUAACCCUGAGCCUGCUUCCGAUACGGGCAGACUAGAGGUAUGCAGGGGAGAACGGAAUUCCUGGUGUAGCGGUGAAAUGCGCAGAUAUCAGGAGGAACACCGGUGGCGAAGGCGGUUCUCUGGGCAUUACCUGACGCUGAGGAGCGAAAGCCAGGGGAGCGAACGGG